UUCAACAUAGCGCGCUUAACGAAGUUUCGAAAAAGUUUUCGCCAUUUGUUCUUUUUCAUUUUAAUGUUAUUUUUCAAAAAUAAUAUCCAUCUGAUUGAUUAUCAACGAUUGAAGAAUAUAUCGCAUCGUGAAAAAUUAUAUCGUAGUUUAUUCUCGUCCCGUUCAUGGCCAUGAUUCCUGUAACGCAACAUUGGAAAGGUCUCGACGAAAAUAUUCUCGAUCAUCUUCUUUUUUUCAAGUAAGAUCAAAUUUUUUUCGAAUAUUCUUACGUACGAACUUAAUAAGAGACGUAUUGAGAUGGAAUUGUAUCAA
Molecule: long non-coding RNA, 312 nt
Organism: Vespa mandarinia (Asian giant hornet)
Lineage: Eukaryota; Metazoa; Arthropoda; Insecta; Hymenoptera; Vespidae
Source: RefSeq, a predicted model, not a curated record